Molecule: ribosomal RNA, 847 nt
Filed under: Utricularia hispida
Lineage: Eukaryota; Viridiplantae; Streptophyta; Magnoliopsida; Lamiales; Lentibulariaceae
Description: eukaryotic LSU rRNA
Rfam family: 5.8S ribosomal RNA (bases 377-532)
Source: RNAcentral
AAAGUAAAAAAUCGUAACAAGGUUUCCGUAGGUGAACCUGCGGAAGGAUCAUUGACGAGGCCCGUUUAUAAGGAAACGAAGAGGUCGUCUGUGCACCAGUCCGGCACCAUCGUUUCGUAGGUGGUGAUUCCGCCGACCCAAUGACGCAAAUUGGGCGCCCAGAUGUGUUGUUGUUGUACCACGAUCAUGUGGUGCGUUCUCUAGUGUUCGUACUUAGGACGUCGCGCGUGAACGCAAAAUCUUGGCGCUGAUUUAUGUGCCAAGGAAUCGACGAGAUGAAGAACUAACAUGUAUGGUACGUACCCCAUGUUGGUCUAUAAGAGGGGUGCUUAGUUCUAGCUACUUCGAUCGAUAAGCGGUUGCGAUCGAUGAAAACGACUCACGGCAACGGAUAUCUCGGCUCUCGCAUCGAUGAAGAACGUCGCAAAAUGCGAUACUUGGUGUGAAUUGCAGGAUCUCGUGAACCAUCGAGUCUUUGAACGCAAGUUGCGCCCGAGGCAACUCUGCUGAGGGCACGUUUGCCUGGGAGUCACGCAAUGUGCCUUUACCAUCCUUAUGGAGCACCGCUCGAUUUGGGGAUGUGUGGCGUUGGUUGGCCUCCCGAACGCUUAAACCUGUUUGGCCGGCUUAAAUGCGAUGUUCCUUGUGGUUGGUUGUAUCAUUUGAACGCGAUGAGCGUUUGUCGCGUGGCCGCUCGACUUCGCAAGUCGUUGCAUCGGGAUGGUCGAGAUCAUUAGGUACUGUUGAAGAUAGAGAGACCCUACGUUUCACGGUCGAGGAUUUCGUUGGUUUCGUUUGGGACCCCAGGUCAGGCGGGAUCACCCGCUGAGUUUAAGCAUAUCAAUAG